Long non-coding RNA from Branchiostoma belcheri (Belcher's lancelet), 524 nucleotides. RefSeq lists it as uncharacterized. The record is from RefSeq and is a predicted model, not a curated record. The transcript has 4 exons. NCBI's taxonomy places the organism in Eukaryota, Metazoa, Chordata, Leptocardii, Amphioxiformes, Branchiostomatidae.
CAAAUACCAACAGUUUGGUGAAGACACCAGCAACAGCUGUUGCUGAUGCCUACAGGUUGCAGUUUGGGGAAAGACUCAUGAGUACAAGGAUUUCCUGUCAUCAUGAGGGAGGUUUUCUGGCUACUUCUGCUGUGUCCAUGGCUGGUCCUGGGUCAGCUAGGACAAACUCCCACCGGAUCCCCAACAGCUGAUAGUUUUGAAUGUCCCGAGUCUUUUGUAUGGGAUGUGUAUGUGAUGAACUGUAUACCAUGCAGUGUAUGCAUCUCAUACCCACAGUCACCAUUCUGUUCUGCAUGUCCUGGGUUCAUUUAUCAUGAAUCUACAACCCAGGAUGUUAUUGUCCUUGCUACACAUUCACCAGAUUCCGAAGUGAAUUUGGAGUCAUUUGAUACAGGUGAUGACAAGGACGAUGGACUAGACACAGGGAUCAUACAAUAUGUAGUAGCAGCUAUUGGAAUAGUUUUGGCGUGUAUACUGGUGAUGGCAGCACUUUUGACAAGGCAAUGGGUAAUCUGCUCCCGAAG